RNAcentral lists this ribosomal RNA (440 nucleotides) under uncultured bacterium. Its description in RNAcentral is "partial 16S ribosomal RNA". It matches the Rfam family "Bacterial small subunit ribosomal RNA", at positions 338 to 795 of the family's 1533-position model. The record is from RNAcentral.
CCUACGGGCGGCAGCAGUAGGGAAUAUUGCUCAAUGGGGGAAACCCUGAAGCAGCAACGCCGCGUGGAGGAUGGAGGUUUUCGGAUUGUAAACUCCUUUUGUUAGAGAAGAUAAUGACGGUAUCUAACGAAUAAGCACCGGCUAACUCCGUGCCAGCAGCCGCGGUAAUACGGAGGGUGCAAGCGUUACUCGGAAUCACUGGGCGGAAAGAGCGCGUAGGCGGGAUAGCAAGUCAGAUGUGAAAUCCUAUGGCUUAACCAUAGAACUGCAUUUGAAACUGUUAUUCUAGAGUAUGGGAGAGGUAGGUGGAAUUCUUGGUGUAGGGGUAAAAUCCGUAGAGAUCAAGAGGAAUACUCAUUGCGAAGGCGACCUGCUAGAACAUAACUGACGCUGAUGCGCGAAAGCGUGGGUAGCAAACGGGAUUAGAUACCCUUGUAGUC